UACGGGAGGCAGCAGUAGGGAAUCUUCCACAAUGGACGAAAGUCUGAUGGAGCAACGCCGCGUGAGUGAAGAAGGAUUUCGGUUCGUAAAACUCUGUUGCAAGGGAAGAACAAGUAGCGUAGUAACUGGCGCUACCUUGACGGUACCUUGUUAGAAAGCCACGGCUAACUACGUGCCAGCAGCCGCGGUAAU
This 192-nucleotide ribosomal RNA is filed under the name uncultured rumen bacterium. RNAcentral describes it as "partial 16S ribosomal RNA". It matches the Rfam family "Bacterial small subunit ribosomal RNA", at positions 340 to 524 of the family's 1533-position model. The record is from RNAcentral.